This 245-nucleotide ribosomal RNA is filed under the name uncultured Lachnospiraceae bacterium. Its description in RNAcentral is "partial 16S ribosomal RNA". It matches the Rfam family "Bacterial small subunit ribosomal RNA", at positions 524 to 768 of the family's 1533-position model. The record is from RNAcentral. Lineage: Bacteria; Bacillati; Bacillota; Clostridia; Lachnospirales; Lachnospiraceae.
UACGUAUGGAGCAAGCGUUCUCCGGAUUUACUGGGUGUAAAGGGAGCGUAGGCGGUUGCUUAAGUCUGAUGUGAAAACCCGGAGCUCAACCCCGGGAUUGCAUUGGAAACUGAGUAACUAGAGUGUCGGAGAGGCAAGUGGAAUUCCCAGUGUAGCGGUGAAAUGCAUAGAUAUUGGGAGGAACACCAGUGGCGAAGGCGGCUUGCUGGACGAUUACUGACGCUGAGACUCGAAAGCGUGGGGAG